GCUCAGAACGCAGUCGAGCGUCCUACGCAGAGGGAGCGGCGGACGGUUAGUAACGCCUAGGAAUCACCCCCUAGGUAAGGAAUAGCUCACCGAAAGGCGGGGUAAUACCUAUGGUCUCACGAGUAAAGUACGUAACAGUACGCCAAGGGAUUGAGCCCUGUCGUCCUAUCCAGGUUUGUUAGGUGGGGUAAUAGGCCCACCAAGCCAACGACGGGUAGCUUGGUCUGAGAAGAAGGUCAGCAAGAGGGGGACUGAGACACGGCCCCCAUCCUUACGGGAGGCAGCAUUCAGGAAUAGUAGACAUGGACGAAAGUCUGAUCUCGCGAUACCGCGUGCAGGAUGAAUUCUAACCGAACCGUAAACUGCUGUGGUAGAGGAAGAAGUUAGUUCUUUGACCAANUGGACGGUACUCUACUAGAAAGGAGCCGUUAACUGCGCCAUAAGCGUCGUAACAC
This 455-nucleotide ribosomal RNA is filed under the name uncultured bacterium. Its description in RNAcentral is "bacterial SSU rRNA". It matches the Rfam family "Bacterial small subunit ribosomal RNA", at positions 46 to 526 of the family's 1533-position model. The record is from RNAcentral.